CCUACGGGUGGCAGCAGUGAGGAAUAUUGGUCAAUGGGCGAGAGACUGAACCAGCCAAGUCGCGUGAAGGAUGACGGCCCUACGGGUUGUAAACUUCUUUUGUCAGGGAGCAAUUGAGUCCACGUGUGGUCUUAGCGAGAGUACCUGAAGAAAAAGCAUCGGCUAACUCCGUGCCAGCAGCCGCGGUAAUACGGAGGAUGCGAGCGUUAUCCGGAUUUAUUGGGUUUAAAGGGUGCGUAGGCGGAAGGUUAAGUCAGCGGUCAAAUGUCGGUGCUCAACACCGGCCUGCCGUUGAAACUGGUCUUCUUGAGUGAGCGAGAAGUAUGCGGAAUGCGUGGUGUAGCGGUGAAAUGCAUAGAUAUCACGCAGAACUCCGAUUGCGAAGGCAGCAUACCGGCGCUCAACUGACGCUGAGGCACGAAAGCGUGGGGAUCGAACAGGAUUAGAUACCCUGGUAGUC
This 460-nucleotide ribosomal RNA is filed under the name uncultured bacterium. Its description in RNAcentral is "partial 16S ribosomal RNA". It matches the Rfam family "Bacterial small subunit ribosomal RNA", at positions 338 to 795 of the family's 1533-position model. The record is from RNAcentral.